GGGCCCGCACAAGCGGUGGAGCAUGUGGUUUAAUUCGAUGAUACGCGAGGAACCUUACCAGGGCUUAAAUGCAGAACGACAGGGGUGGAAACACCCUCUUCUUCGGACGGUCUGCAAGGUGCUGCAUGGUUGUCGUCAGCUCGUGCUGUGAAGUGUCGGGUUAAGUCCCAUAACGAGCGCAACCCCUAUUUCUAGUUGCCAGCGGUUCGGCCGGGGACUCUAGAAAAACUGCCAGCGUAAGCUGUGAGGAAGGUGGGGAUGACGUCAAAUCAUCACGGCCCUUACGUCCUGGGCUACACACGUGCUACAAUGGUAGGGACAGAGGGCAGCUAUCCCGCGAGGGAAUGCAAAUCUCGAAAGUCUAUCUCAGUUCGGAUUGGAGUCUGCAACUCGACUCUAUGAAGCUGGAAUCGCUAGUAA
This 420-nucleotide ribosomal RNA is filed under the name uncultured bacterium. RNAcentral's name for it is "bacterial SSU rRNA". It matches the Rfam family "Bacterial small subunit ribosomal RNA", at positions 917 to 1341 of the family's 1533-position model. The record is from RNAcentral.